AUUGAACGCUGGCGGCAUGCCUUACACAUGCAAGUCGAACGGUAACAGGUUAAGCUGACGAGUGGCGAACGGGUGAGUAAUGUAUCGGAACGUGCCCAGCCGGGGGGGAUAACUGCUCGAAAGGGCAGCUAAUACGGCAUACGACCGGAGGGUGAAAGGGGGGGAUCGCAAGCCCCCGCGCGAUUGGAGCGGCCGAUAUCAGAUUAGGUAGUUGGUGAGGUAAAGGCUCACCAAGCCGACGAUCUGUAGCUGGUCUGAGAGGACGACCAGCCACACUGGGACUGAGACACGGCCCAGACUCCUACGGGAGGCAGCAGUGGGGAAUUUUGGACAAUGGGCGCAAGCCUGAUCCAGCCAUGCCGCGUGCGGGAAGAAGGCCUUCGGGUUGUAAACCGCUUUUGUCAGGGAAGAAAAGGUUCUGGCUAAUACCUGGGACUCAUGGCGGUACCUGAAGAAUAAGCACCGGCUAACUACGUG
Molecule: ribosomal RNA, 477 nt
Filed under: uncultured bacterium
Lineage: Bacteria
Description: partial 16S ribosomal RNA
Rfam family: Bacterial small subunit ribosomal RNA
Source: RNAcentral